GAUGAACGCUGGCGGCGUGCCUAACACAUGCAAGUCGAGCGGACGGACGAGAAGCUUGCUUCUCUGAUGUUAACGGCGGAAGGGUGAGUAACACGAGGAUAACCUGCCUAUAAGACUGGGGUAACGUAGGGAAACCGGAGCUAGUACCGGCCAAUAUUUUGAAGCGCAUGGGUCAAAAGUGCAAGCCGUUCUUGAUGUCACUGAUACAUAGAACCGGGCUGCAGUAGUUAGGUGGUAAGGUAACGGCUUACCAAGGCAACGAUGCAAAGCCGACCUGAUAGGGUGAUCGGCCACACUGGAACUGAGCCACGGCCCAGACUCCUACGGGAGGCAGCAGUAGGGAAUCUUCGGCAAUGGGCGAAAGCCUGACGGAGCAGGGCCGCGUGUGUGAUGAAGGUCUUCGGAGCGUAAAACUCUGUUAUUAGGGAAGAACAGAUGUGUGUGUAACUGUGCACAUCUUGACGGUACCUAAACAGAAAGCCCCGGCUAACUACGUG
Molecule: ribosomal RNA, 497 nt
Filed under: uncultured bacterium
Lineage: Bacteria
Description: partial 16S ribosomal RNA
Rfam family: Bacterial small subunit ribosomal RNA
Source: RNAcentral